This 458-nucleotide ribosomal RNA is filed under the name Janulum imago. Its description in RNAcentral is "partial 28S ribosomal RNA". Lineage: Eukaryota; Metazoa; Porifera; Demospongiae; Axinellida; Raspailiidae. The record is from RNAcentral.
CAAGAGAGCGCGAAACCGUUAGGAGGGAAGUGCAGGGCAGCGAGCGGAAGGCCCUUGGUGGAAUUCAGCCUCUGCAGGUCUCCGACAGUGGGGGACUGGCGGCGGUGCACUUUUCGCCAGGGCACGUCAGCGGCGAUUGCCCCGAUCCCGCGAGGCGGUGGAGGCUGCCUCUCCGGAGGCCAGGUGACCGGGACGGCUCUCGGGUCGUCUCGGAGCGUACACUCUGCCGUCUGGGGCGUCGGGGCGAUCGAGGAGUGGGUUCGUUCCAUCGGCGUCCAUUCGCCUGGAGCAAAGGCAGGUGCGGGCCAGAGGGUUUGGCCGGGCGGCCCCUGGCGACCGGGAGCUCCGAGCGAGUUCUGCCCCGUCCUCGUGGCGGGCUGCUCGAACGGGUUCUCUCGGCGUCGGGGUGUCCGUCUCGCCCGCGCCUAGGUGGCUGACGUGGAGUCGUUGCCGUGCGU